RNAcentral lists this unclassified non-coding RNA (300 nucleotides) under uncultured Ascomycota. RNAcentral's name for it is "sequence contains 5.8S rRNA gene, ITS2". The stretch from base 1 to 90 matches the Rfam family "5.8S ribosomal RNA", at positions 58 to 154 of the family's 154-position model. Lineage: Eukaryota; Fungi; Ascomycota. The record is from RNAcentral.
AGAUGUGUAUAAGAGAAAGGUGAGUCAUCGAAUCUUUGAACGCACAUUGCGCCCAUUAGUAUUCUAUUGGGCAUGCCUGUUCGAGCGUCAUUUCAACCCUCAGGCUUUGGUCUGGUGCUGGGGCAUUGCACUGCAAGCCCUGAAUAAUAGUGGCGGACUCACUGAAAUCCGAGCGUAGUAACUUUUUCUCGCUAUGGACUUUCAAUGGUGUACCUGCCGUAAAAAACCCCCUAUAUUACAAGGUUGACCUCGGAUCAGGUAGGAAUACCCGCUGAACUUAAGCAUAUCAAUAAGCGGAGG